This 67-nucleotide transfer RNA is filed under the name Physosmaragdina nigrifrons. RNAcentral describes it as "tRNA-Tyr". Lineage: Eukaryota; Metazoa; Arthropoda; Insecta; Coleoptera; Chrysomelidae. The record is from RNAcentral. RNAcentral also lists the same sequence under 1 other name.
GGUAAAAUGACCGAGAUCUAGGUAUUAAAUUGUAAAUUUAACCACGAAGUAAUAUCUUCUUUUACCA